GGCGAACCGGGGGAACUGAAACAUCUAAGUACCCCGAGGAAAAGAAAUCAACCGAGAUUCCGAAAGUAGCGGCGAGCGAAAUUGGACUAGCCCUUAAGCUUUACACGCGUUAGACGAACGGUCUGGAAAGUCCGACGAUACAGGGUGAUAGUCCCGUAGUUGACGACGUGUGUUCAGUGAAAUCGAGUAGGGCGGGACACGUGAUAUCCUGUCUGAAUAUGGGGGGACCAUCCUCCAAGGCUAAAUACUACUGACUGACCGAUAGUGAACCAGUACCGUGAGGGAAAGGCGAAAAGAACCCCUGUGAGGGGAGUGAAAUAGAACCUGAAACCGUGUACGUACAAGCAGUAGGAGCAGGCUUUGUCCUGUGACUGCGUACCUUUUGUAUAAUGGGUCAGCGACUUAUAUUCAGUGGCAAGGUUAACCAUCUAGGGGAGCCGUAGGGAAACCGAGUCUUAACUGGGCGUUCAGUCUCUGGAUAUAGACCCGAAACCAGGUGAUCUAGCCAUGGGCAGGUUGAAGGUUGAGUAACAUCAACUGGAGGACCGAACCGACUAAUGUUGAAAAAUUAGCGGAUGACUUGUGGCUAGGGGUGAAAGGCCAAUCAAACCUGGAGAUAGCUGGUUCUCCCCGAAAGCUAUUUAGGUAGCGCCUCGGACGAAUACUACUGGGGGUAGAGCACUGUUAAGGCUAGGGGGUCAUCCCGACUUACCAACCCUUUGCAAACUCCGAAUACCAGUAAGUACUAUCCGGGAGACACACGGCGGGUGCUAACGUCCGUCGUGGAGAGGGAAACAACCCAGACCGCCAGCUAAGGUCCCAAAUUACUACUAAGUGGGAAACGAUGUGGGAAGGCUCAGACAGCCAGGAUGUUGGCUUAGAAGCAGCCAUCAUUUAAAGAAAGCGUAAUAGCUCACUGGUCGAGUCGGCCUGCGCGGAAGAUGUAACGGGGCUAAGUAGUAAACCGAAGCUGCGGCAAUGUGCUUUUGCACAUUGGGUAGGGGAGCGUUCUGUAAGCGGUUGAAGGU
Molecule: ribosomal RNA, 1028 nt
Filed under: Vibrio parahaemolyticus
Lineage: Bacteria; Pseudomonadati; Pseudomonadota; Gammaproteobacteria; Vibrionales; Vibrionaceae
Description: partial 23S ribosomal RNA
Rfam family: Bacterial large subunit ribosomal RNA
Source: RNAcentral